AGAGUUUCAUCCUGGCUCAGGAUGAACGCUUGGCGGCAUCUUAACACAUGCAAGAUCGACACGGGAAGUGUUGUUGUUUUUCCAUGGCGAACGGUGUGAGUAACGCGUAAACCUUCCCUUGGGAGGGGAACCCCAACUGGAACGGUUGCUAAUACCCCGUAGGCUGAGGGCAAAAGGGAGAAUCCGCCCAGGAGGGCUCUCGUCUGCUUAGCUAGUUGGUAGGCAAUAGCUUGACCAGGCGAUGAUCAGUAGCUUGUCCGAGAGGAUGAUCACCCACUGGACUGAGACGCUGCCCAGAUCCCUCCUACGGAGGCAGCGUGGGGUUUUUCCGCCAUUGGCGAAAGCCUGACGGAGCUAUGGCCGGCGUGAGGUGGAAGGCCUACCGGUCGUCACUUCUUUUCUCGGAGAAGAAAAAAUGACGGUUAUCUGAGGAUAAGCAAUCGGCUACUCUGUGCCAUCAGCCGCGGGAAGACGAAGGCUGCAAGCGUUAUCCGGAAUGAUUGGCGUAAAGCGUCUGUAGUGGCUUUUUCAGUCCUCCUUCAAUCCCAGGGCUCAACCCUGGACAGGCGGUGGAACUACCAAGCUGGAGUACGGUAGGGCAGAGGGAAUUCCGCGUGAGCGGUGAAAUUGCAUUGAGAUCGAAAGAAACACCAACGGCAAAGCACUCUGCCUGGGCCGCCACUGACACUGAUAGACGACAGCUAGGUGGAAGCAAAUGGGAUUAGAGACCCCCAUAGUCCUAGCCGUAAACGGAUGGAUACUAGGUGCUGUGCGAACUCGACCCGUGCAGUGCUGUAAGCUAACGCGUUAAGUAUCCCGCUGGAGUACGUUCGCAGUAAUGAAACUCAAAGGAAUUGACGGGGUGGCCCGCACAAGCGGUGGAGCAUGUGGUUUAAUCGAAUUGCAAAGCGAAGAACCUUAACCAGGGCUUGACAUGCCGCGAAUCCUCUUUAAAGGAGGGGUGCCCUCGGGGAACGCGGACACAGUUGCAAGCUGGCGUCAUCUCGUGCCGUAAGUGUUGGGUUAAGUCAUGCACGAGCCGCAACCCUCGUGUUUAUUGCCAACUAUGAGUUUUGGAACCCUGAACAGACCGCCGGUGUUAAGCCGGAGGAAUGAGAGGAUGAGGCCAAGUCAUCAUGCCCCUUAUGCCCUGGGCGACAACACGUUCUACAAUGGGGCGGGACAAAGGGUCGCGAUCUCGCGAGGUAGCUACCUCCAAAAACCCGUCCUCAGUUCGGAUUGCAGGCUGCAAGUCGCCUGCAUGAAGCAGGAAUCGCAUAGUAAUCGCCGGUCACCCUACGCGGUGAAUCCGUUCCCCCGUCCUUGUACCCCAACCGCCCGUCACCUAUAGGAGCUGGCCAGUUUGAAGUCAUUCCCCUUAACCGUAAGGAGGGGGAUGCCUAAGGCUAGGCUAUGCGACUGGAGUGAAGUCGUAACAGGUACCGUACUGAAGUGCUGCUG
This 1461-nucleotide ribosomal RNA is filed under the name Saccharum spontaneum (wild sugarcane). Its description in RNAcentral is "bacterial SSU rRNA". It matches the Rfam family "Bacterial small subunit ribosomal RNA". The record is from RNAcentral. Lineage: Eukaryota; Viridiplantae; Streptophyta; Magnoliopsida; Poales; Poaceae.